CUCGGCAAGAGUGAACUAGCUAACUGAAAUCCUCGGCAAGAGUGAACUAGCUAACUGAAAUCACAUAGUGUGUCACAUGUGAUAACGUAAGGGAAAAUAAUGAUAUUACCUUACUAUUAGUGUCGUCCAAAGCUGGUGCCAGAAGACUCGGUAAGGCCAGAGACGCAAACGUUAGUCUUCUUAACCAGGCGUAAAGGGUUGGUAGGCAGCUUAAAAAUUUUAUUUUAAUAUAGCCAUAGUAAAAUAAGACCAAUUAAAGCUAGAAUCAAAUAGAGGUUAAUCCAAAUAAUGCUUAGAGUAGGAGCCAUAUCCUUAGAAACUAAGUGGAAUACUAAGGGCGAAAGCUUUUUAACCAUUAAUGAUUGACGCUGAGAAACGAAGGUGAGGAUAGGGAUUAGGAUUAGAUACCCAGGUACCCCUCUCUGUCAACGAUGAAUGGUAAUUAUUAAUUAUAAAUUAGUGAUGAUGUUAACACGUUAACCAUUCCGCCUUGUGAGUACGAUUGCCAAAUUGAAAACCAAAAAAUUAGUCGGUCUCGAAGCACAACGAAGUGAA
RNAcentral lists this ribosomal RNA (555 nucleotides) under Panus rudis. RNAcentral's name for it is "mitochondrial SSU rRNA". It matches the Rfam family "Bacterial small subunit ribosomal RNA", at positions 364 to 937 of the family's 1533-position model. Lineage: Eukaryota; Fungi; Basidiomycota; Agaricomycetes; Polyporales; Panaceae. The record is from RNAcentral.